RNAcentral lists this small nuclear RNA (148 nucleotides) under Echinops telfairi (small Madagascar hedgehog). Its description in RNAcentral is "U1 spliceosomal RNA (ENSETEG00000022346.1)". It matches the Rfam family "U1 spliceosomal RNA", at positions 1 to 149 of the family's 166-position model. Rfam says of the family: U1 is a small nuclear RNA (snRNA) component of the spliceosome (involved in pre-mRNA splicing). Its 5' end forms complementary base pairs with the 5' splice junction, thus defining the 5' donor site of an intron. The record is from RNAcentral. Lineage: Eukaryota; Metazoa; Chordata; Mammalia; Afrosoricida; Tenrecidae.
AUACUUACCUGGCAGGUGAGAUAGCAUGAUAUUGAAGGUAAUUUUCACAGAGCUAAACUCACCAAUUGCACUUUGGCUGUGCUGACCCCUCUGAUUUCCCCAAAUGUGGGAAACUCAACUACAUAAAUUUGUAGUAGUGGGGGACUGA